GACGAACGCUGGCGGCGCGCUUAACACAUGCAAGUCGAACGGAAAGGCCUGCUUUCCCUUGUGGAUUGCGGGUACUCGAGUGGCGAACGGGUGAGUAACACGUGAGUGAUCUGCCCCCAACUUGGGUAUAAGCCUGGGAAACUGGGUCUAAUUCCCGAUAGGACUGCAGGGUGGUGCCUGUGGUGGAAAACGAUUUUCUAGUGGUUGGGGAUGAGCUCGCGGCCUAUCAGCUUGUUGGUGGGGUAAUGGCCUACCAAGGCGGCGACGGGUAGCCGGCCUGGGAGGGUGGACGGCCACAUUGGGACUGGGAUACGGCCCAGACGCCUACGGGAGGCAGCAGUGGGGAAUAUUGCACAAGGGGCGGAAGCCUGAUGCAGCGACGCCGCGUGGGGGAUGACGGCCUUCGGGUUGUAAACUCCUUUCGACCGCGAGGAAGCCACCUGGUUGGAAGGGUGGUGACGGUAGUGGUAGAAGAAGCACCGGCUAACUACGUG
RNAcentral lists this ribosomal RNA (494 nucleotides) under uncultured bacterium. RNAcentral's name for it is "partial 16S ribosomal RNA". It matches the Rfam family "Bacterial small subunit ribosomal RNA", at positions 28 to 507 of the family's 1533-position model. The record is from RNAcentral.